Molecule: ribosomal RNA, 497 nt
Filed under: uncultured bacterium
Lineage: Bacteria
Description: partial 16S ribosomal RNA
Rfam family: Bacterial small subunit ribosomal RNA
Source: RNAcentral
GAUGAACGCUGGCGGCGUGCCUAAUACAUGCAAGUCGAGCGAACAGACGAGGAGCUUUCUCCUCUGACGUUAGCGGCGGACGGGUGAGUAACACGUGGAUAACCUACCUAUAAGACUGGGAUAACUUCGGGAAACCGGAGCUAAUACCGGAUAACAUGUUGAACCGCAUGGUUCAACAGUGAAAGACGGUCUUGCUGUCACUUAUAGAUGGAUCCGCGUCGCAUUAGCUAGUUGGUAAGGUAACGGCUUACCAAGGCGACGAUGCGUAGCCGACCUGAGAGGAUGAUCAGCCACACUGGAACGGAGACACGGCCCAGACUCCUACGGGAGGCAGCAGUGGGGAAUUUUGGACAAUGGGCGAAAGCCUGACGGAGCAACGCCGCGUGGAGGAUGAAGGCCUUCGGGUUGUAAAAUUCUUUUGUAGGGAAAGAAAAGCUUUCUAUUAAUACAGGCGGGUCUGGACGGUACCGAAAGAAAAAGCACCGGCUAACUACGUG